UCAUUUCCUCUGUUGAAACUGCUCCACUCUUUCAUCUUCUUCUCGUGCUUGUCCACAGCAGAGACGGCUCAGAUCUGACGUUUUUGUGUCUUACUGAUGGUUCAGGGCUCGGGUGGUGCAGUGGCUGUAAGUAUAUGCUCGGGAACGUCGAGUCAGGUCUACUAGGGCGGCAUCCGCGGCCGUCGUCGUCGGCUAUUUCAUCUACAAAGGUUCCAAGCUCGCCUAUGACUCCACUGCCCUCCAGGUUACGUCCGAAUGCUCGCUCCCUCCUCCCAUCAGAUCCACUAGCAUGUUGGUUGGAAUCUGUGAAUAUUCACAUGUAUACACGGAACUACAGCUUCACAGCUUUGUCCUGAAUCAUAAUGAGUAUCUUUUCUCGCCAUUGAUUUCUGCACGUAUGGUUUAGCUCGCAUGUCUAGAUCUACAUGUUCACCUGGCUUAUGGUUCAUCUCAAUCAUGGAUGACAAAAUGUUAAAAUCCUAGCUUAUAGACACUAUAUUAAUGUGGGUGGAUACAAUUUUAGAAGAUGAAACUUCAAUAAAAUGAAAAGGAAAAAUUAUAUUGAUUGAUGUCUUCCAUCCUUUUCCUGAAUCAUAAUGCUGAUCUUUUCUUUUGAUUUAUGUUUCUUUAUUUAAGUUAGCUCAUCAUAUAGGUUCAGCUGGUUUGUUGGAUGCCAGGUCUUUCUUGUCACUUUUGACAACCUUUUGAUUUGUAUCUUGAGCCACAUUUUCUACUUCUUGUCUUUUCAAUGUGAGAAUACCAGACACGAAAUGAUGCAUAUGCACUAUGAUACCUGGAUCACUUUAAAUUCAGGAUUAUUCAUGGCUAAUUCAGGAUUGAAGCAGGGGAAAAACCCCCUCCUCCAUGUUGCCUGCUGAUUAUUUGGGGAUGUUUGUGGAGAGAGAUGUUGAUACUUCUAUAGGCCUAUCACUUUAAAUUUUAUUACAACCAGUUUUAUGCCUAGAACAAUCAGGGUGUCUAGUUUCUGCUUUAUGCCCCAUGUUUUACUAGCUACAAGCUCAGCUUCGUGCUCUGUAGGAAAUAAGUACAUCAUUAUUUAGGCGUGUUUUGAUAAUAGUGAAGAAUAAAGGUGUAUUCUGAUGUGGUGGUGCCAAACAAAACUUUUAUGCUUAUGCUGAGCUUACUUUUAAUAUUGUGAACAUGACAAUUUAUAGGCUGUACUGCAGUUCCACUCCUUUUAUUCUGUGUGCUGAGCUUACCUUUGUAUGUCAGGAUUUUUUCUUCAUCUAUUACCCUUCCUUUGGCUGUAGUUUAUCUUCGUACAGAAACCAAUCUUGGUGUUCUUCCUACUUGCAUUUGAUUAUGUUUUUAAAAUUCCCUAGCACAACUAUAUAUGACAAUGUUUUUUUUUCUGUUUUCAGUGUCUAUAGUGCAUUUGCAUGAUCUUGAAUUAUGUGCUGCAGAAUAUAAUUAGCUGAUUUAAACUGCUGUUUUCCUUCGCAUAAUCAAAUGCCCUUUGUUUUUGCAGUAUGCAUGCCCAAGUCAAGCUUGCGGUCAUGAUGAAGGUGCUGAUUUAGGUUUCCUAUCUUCAGAAGUAAAAUGUUUGCUUGCUACCUUCUUUACGGUACCACUUUCUAAUCAAGUUCUUGAGCACAGGAGUUAUGUAUACAAAUCAUGUGCUAUUUAUGCACUGAGCCAUUUUCUUGUCUACUUAGCUGAAUCAUGUCUUUUUGUACUAAGCGUCACUUACUAGUAUUUGGCUUCUAUGUGCUAAUUAAACCUGAUGAGUAUGUAUACUUCUUUGAUGUUGCAUAAUAUUGGUGUCAAAGGGGUUAAUUUAAACCGGAUAUGAUCUACUGGAACAAUUUUUUGCUGUUCAAACAUUUAAAUUCUUGUUCUUUGUUUCAAACAUCAAAAUGUUGUUUACUUUGUCCUUGUAUGCUUAAAUGAUAAAAAUGUCACAUUUAUAGGAUUGUAAACCUGAUGUGAUUGGAGUAGUAUUUACUUGUUGCUGGUAGUUACUACUUGUAUCCACUGGUUUCUAUGCCUCAUUUUGCUUGUUUUACUUUAUUUAUGCACACAGACUGCCUAAAAGUUAAUGGUCUUUUAGAUUAGCCUUUAUUUUGCUCCUAACCAUAUUGUUUGAUAACUUGCAGAUGAUGUACUUCAUUUGUGUUUCAUCGUGGGCUCUAGGACGAAGAAGUCGGGGGAAUCAUAGACUUCUAGCUCAUUGGAGCUAGUUAUACUUCGAUAGCUAGUUAUUUUUUUAUUCUUUAGUUGUGUUACCUGAUGCGAACUAUUUCUGAUUGUAAACCUGAUGUGAACCAUGUUUGAUCGCAAUGUGCCAGGUUUGGCUCUUUUUGAUUGCAUUCAUGAUUUGAACCAUGUUUUCAAGAUAUUUAGUUAUGUUCUGUUUGAAGUAUUGUGUAAAUAUUGGUUAUUUAUUUA
This 2409-nucleotide long non-coding RNA is filed under the name Triticum aestivum (bread wheat). RNAcentral describes it as "long non-coding RNA (TAES_LNC001500)". Lineage: Eukaryota; Viridiplantae; Streptophyta; Magnoliopsida; Poales; Poaceae. The record is from RNAcentral.